UAGGGAAUCUUCGGCAAUGGGGGGAACCCUGACCGAGCAACGCCGCGUGAGUGAAGAAGGUUUUCGGAUCGUAAAGCUCUGUUGUUAAGGAAGAACGAGUGUGAGAAUGGAAAGUUCAUGCUGUGACGGUACUUAACCAGAAAGGGACGGCUAACUACGUGCCAGCAGCCGCGGUAAUACGUAGGUCCCGAGCGUUUUCCGGAUUUAUUGGGCGUAAAGCGAGCGCAGGCGGUUAGAAAAGUCUGAAGUGAAAGGCAGUGGCUCAACCAUUGUAGGCUUUGGAAACUGUUUAACUUGAGUGCAGAAGGGGAGGGUGGAAUUCCAUGUGUAGCGGUGAAAUGCGUAGUUAUAUGGAGGAACACCGGUGGCGAAAGCGGCUCUCUGGUAUGUAAACGACGCUGAGGCUCGAAAGCGUGGGGAGCGAACAGG
This 429-nucleotide ribosomal RNA is filed under the name Bacteroidota bacterium. RNAcentral's name for it is "Bacteroidetes bacterium partial 16S ribosomal RNA". It matches the Rfam family "Bacterial small subunit ribosomal RNA", at positions 355 to 776 of the family's 1533-position model. Lineage: Bacteria; Pseudomonadati; Bacteroidota. The record is from RNAcentral.